CAGUCGCCGCGGUAAUACGAGGGGAGCUAGCGUUAUUCGGAAUUACUGGGCGUAAAGCGCACGUAGGCGGCUUUGUAAGUUAGAGGUGAAAGCCCAGAGCUCAACUCUGGAAUUGCCUUUAAGACUGCAUCGCUUGAAUCCAGGAGAGGUGAGUGGAAUUCCGAGUGUAGAGGUGAAAUUCGUAGAUAUUCGGAAGAACACCAGUGGCGAAGGCGGCUCACUGGACUGGUAUUGACGCUGAGGUGCGAAAGCGUGGGGAGCAUACAGGAUUAGAUACCCCGGUAGUCCCUGUCUCUUAUAC
This 301-nucleotide ribosomal RNA is filed under the name uncultured bacterium. RNAcentral describes it as "partial 16S ribosomal RNA". It matches the Rfam family "Bacterial small subunit ribosomal RNA", at positions 509 to 807 of the family's 1533-position model. The record is from RNAcentral.